RNAcentral lists this ribosomal RNA (254 nucleotides) under uncultured bacterium. RNAcentral describes it as "partial 16S ribosomal RNA". It matches the Rfam family "Bacterial small subunit ribosomal RNA", at positions 524 to 776 of the family's 1533-position model. RNAcentral also lists the same sequence under 1 other name. The record is from RNAcentral.
UACGUAGGGGGCGAGCGUUGUCCGGAUUUAUUGGGCGUAAAGAGCUCGUAGGCGGCUCGGUAAGUCGGAUGUGAAACCUCCAGGCUCAACCUGGAGACGCCAUCUGAUACUGCCGUGGCUUGAGUCCGGUAGAGGAGCAGGGAAUUCCUGGUGUAGCGGUGAAAUGCGCAGAUAUCAGGAGGAACACCAGCGGCGAAGGCGCUGCUCUGGGCCGGUACUGACGCUGAGGAGCGAAAGCGUGGGGAGCGAACAGG